AGCAUCAGCAUCAAGAGCCAGUGUGAGGAAGAUCAUCGAACCGGUGUCCUCCAGAACCUGUACUCUUACAUCGCUCCUCACAACCACCAAAGUGUUUUCUGUGUGUGCUUCGUGUUCCCCUAAGGCUAUGCCUAAGAAGGGUAGUAACGUCAGACCCAGAAGUCACAUGCCGGACAAAAAACCUAGCCAAGACCGUAUGAAACCUCAGUGUAAAGAGAAGGAACACAAAGAACAGAAGGAAGACAAACAGAAGGAAAAGGAUAAAAAGUAAAUAGAAGAGGAGGAGGUGGAUAAACAGUAUUUCAGGGUUCCAGCCUACUACUUGCUAACAGCCAACCUCGCCAAGUUCCCAGUGACUCUCCUCCGCUGCUUCUCUCAGUAACUAAGUUAACACUUCUCAAGUAACACUCCAAGCAAGUCCAGCACGGCACUUACCACAUUCAACUCCUCCAAGCUAUGUACUGUUUCAAGUGGCUUUUCUCCACAUCAUGUUUCUUGUAACUCAUUAACGACAGCAAACGUUCCGUGGUCAUUAAUGUUCCCAAAUGACUCUUCCUCUCACAUUCUCACUUAGAUUUAUGUGUCACGCAAUGUUAAAAGUAAUUCAUCACUUACAGAUUCAAGUGAAAUUACCUCUUCAGAGGUGAUGCUGCCUCACUUAACCUUCCUAACGGCGAUAAUGUAUCAUAUUUCCUCUCACGUGGAGAUAUGUGAUAUAUUUCCUCUCCUGUGGUGAUGCUGGGAUACACUCAUCUCCUGUGGUGACGCUGGGAUACACGGCUAUCCUGUGAGGUUGGGAUACAUUCCUCUCCUGUGGUGAUGCUGGGAUACACUUCUCUCCUGUGGUGAUGCUGGGAUACACGCCUCUCCUGUGUUGAUGCUGGGAUACAUACCUCUCCUGUGGUGAUGCUGGGAUACAUACCUCUCCUGUGGUGAUGCUGGGAUACAUACCUCUCCUGUGGUGAUGCUGGUAUACAUACCUCUCCUGUGGUGAUGCUGGUAUACAUACUUCUCCUGUGGUGAUGCUGGUAUACAUACCUCUCCUGUGGUGAUGCUGGUAUACAUACCUCUCCUGUGGUGAUGCUGGGACACACCAGAUCUUCCUUCAAAUGCUCCAGUGUUGCAGCUACAAUGUAACCAUCUACACAGUGCUCCUGCAAGUAACAAGAUUUUCUUUACCAAUUUAUACACUAAAUUAGUAUAAUUGCUUUCUUUUUGUAUAGACUAUAAGAAGUAGUGUUUUUAAUUAAAUAAUUUUUAAUAAAGUCUGUAAUAUUUUAUUUAAAUUAGACAACAUAACUAGGAGUUAGAGUGUGUGUCUUUAAAGACUUGUGCUUUGAUAAGUUAUUUACUUAUAGUUAGUGUAUCAGUGUCGCUAAAUCUGUUGUGCACAAGUGAGGAUUAUUGCACAAUUAUGUUUUCCCUGGCACACCUACUCUUAUUGCUCAACACUUGGUACACUAUACACAGCCAACAUGUGGAUAGCAAUUUUCUCAGGGCCAACAGUGCGCCCUCGCUGCCAGACACGAGUCGCCCAUCAAUGAGGCAGAAAUAAACAUGUCAUGUACACAAAAAUGUACAUAAUAUUUAAAGGAUAAGGUGAUCUAUUUGUUUUUCACACUUGUUCAUCCUGACACCGGUUCACUAAAAUAAAAAAAAAUGGGUUAUAUUCAUAACCAUACUUUUAAAGGGGUGGAGGGGUAAGCCAGUUGAAGGUCUCGGUCAGAUGACCAAAAGCUCCAGCUGUGGUCAUAUAACUAAGACCCGCGUCAGGAAACACUUGUCCUGUUACUUACUACCUUAUAUAUCUGGCCUCAGCCAUCUGUAAUAUGGUUUGAAAUUUUCUGUAUUGAAGAUGCUAUGAACAGAAGUUCGAGUCUCCUUCAGAAGACUCUGAUUGAUGUUGGAAAAUUGUUCAUUAAUGUGUCCCGUUGUUAAUGCGUUAUUAACGACUUGCGUUAGUUUCGUUACUUGCAUAAGUUUAUUUAGGUACAGGUACUCAUAAGUACAAUUAUCAUACGUAGUGUAAAUUAGCCAGGAUAACCCAAAAACGUCAGUGACUUACUUCCAUUGGGUCUUUAGAAAAAUAUGUUGCCCAAAUAUGGGUGGGUAUUAUAUAGAAAAUAAAGUUCCCGGAAAAUAAUGGAAGAAGAAAUUGUUAAUGAUAGCAGGUGGAUGACGUUAACCAAACUCAGGAAGAUAUAGAUGCAACUGAAUCACUUCGAUCUUUUUUUGGGGUUAUGCUGAUGAGUAAUUUACAUUAUGUAUAAUUGUGUUUAAGUGUAGCUGUGUCUACAUAAACUUAAGAGGUUUUCCCCAGGCCACAGACAUCAUCCCAGCAGUCAGUGUAUGAUGUACAGCCCCGGACAAGUUACCCAGUAUAUUGUAUAUUACGAGGAUACGUAAUCAGUUUUACAUUACCAUUAUCAACUUGCUGCAGUCAUGACCUUUUCAUCAUAUUACAAGCCGAAUAAAACUAUUUUAAGUAUUUUCUUCACACUCCACAAACCAUAAUUCAUUCCGUGACAUCGGCAGCAAAUUUAGACUGUAGGGGAAAUAUCCCGUGUUUAUGCCAAGAAAAAUGUAUCAAUUUAAGUGUUAAACUCCGAGAAAGAUGUUUGGGUUUUAACCAGACAAGCACCUGUGAGGAAUGUGUCACCUAUCCCAGAGAAGUGGUCCCUAAACCUAGGUGCAAACUACUUAAAUACUAUGUUAAGACCCAGCACUGAAUAAAGACAGUUACUCACCACACACACACACAAGCAUACCCACACACACACACACACACUCACGCACACCCAGACACAUAUAUAGACACACACUACCAUACAUAUAUAAGAAGGAGAAUUACCCAGAGUUAAAAAAAAAAAAACUUACCCAUAUUGACGUCGGGUAGAAAAGGAGGUCAGCACACCAGAAAUGGUACACAAGUACACUUAACAUUGCAAGUACACGAGUUUACACUCAUCUAUUUAAAACCUUAACUACCAUCUGUCUUGUACAAGCUCUCUCUCCCUUACCCAUAAGUUUUUACAGUAGUACAGAAUUUAUUACAUUACAGGAGUCCUCCUAAUUUCUUAGUCUAGUUAUUAUAUCAGUCACGGUUGAUACAAUACUCUUAGGAAGAUGCUGGACUGUGUUAAUGAUGAAGUUACUUUUAUAAAGGCUUAUAUAACUAUAGGAGUUACAUUAUAUUCACUUGGAAGCGUUAAAUCCACAGGGGUAACCGAGCUCCUUUGGAAGAGGAGGCAAGCAUGUCUGACACAAGAGUCCUUCAGCAUCCACGUCUUCUCUCCCCUUCCUUUGAAGGAAGAAGAGUAUUGUAUAAACUGUUUUGACUUGAUUGUAUAAACGUUUGUGUGUAUAAUUGUGCGUAAGCUGGUCACAUUAACAUUAAUUCGUAACCAGCCCAAAUUUAUUUUGGCUCGACUACAAUAAAUCUUGCAUAACUUUGAGCUCAUUCUUACAGUGUGCGGCAGUGAGUGAGAGCUCUUGAUGUCUAUGUGAGCUCUGCCCAACAUCUCAUGAGCUCUCACACACAUUGUUGCACACUGUUGCCUUACCAAAUAGUCGAAAUGUUAGUGUCACUUGUUUAUUUUUAAUAUUAACAUAGAUGUUAUAGCUGUUGAGGAUGUGUGAUAAGAUUAUACCACCUUUAAUGUGUUAAUUACAAACGCCUAAUUAAUAUUAACAGAAUUACAUUCACGGAUAGAGCUAACCCCGUAAGGGUCAUUCAGGGCUGCAAUCACCUAAAUUAACUCUAAAUUAUUUUGAUGUCCGUCAAAAAAAAAAAAACAGGGAGUGUUCGAAAAUUAAUUAAUUUUU
Molecule: long non-coding RNA, 3825 nt
Organism: Cherax quadricarinatus
Lineage: Eukaryota; Metazoa; Arthropoda; Malacostraca; Decapoda; Parastacidae
Source: RefSeq, a predicted model, not a curated record